AGCAUUAUUAUCGAUUGUUUAGUAAUAUUUUUCAAUAAAUUUUUAGCCUGUAUUUUUGUGAUUGCAAAAAAAUUUAUUUCUCUGAGUUUAUAUAUCACAUGCACACCCCGACCUAGGCCCUUUUCGACCUAUUUAAUACCAAUGAAUUAUUUUCACAAGCUUAAUAUCUCAGUUCGGUAUUCAACUUCCGUCAAUCACAUGCCUCUUGCAUUUUUUUCUAUCCGAUUUAUUUAAUUAUUGCACUCCAUUUUAUUACCGAGUUAUCUAUCAGUUAUUUAAUUCCAAAAAAACGUAUAAACACGCUUGACAAGUAAAAUAGUACUCAAGGUACAUAUAAUGCAAAAUGGCACACUGUACAUACACUUUGAAAUAUGACCAAGUGAUAGUCGCCACAGGAUAAGAGCUAAACUAAAGGCGCCGCUUCAUCAGUCGACAAAAUAUUCCUCAAUCAAGGAAAUUUAUUUACUCCAAAAAACUGGCAGUGUAAAAUAAAAUUUAAAAUUUCCACCAUUUUGAUUUGAGUUGGUACACAAAGUCACGACAUUCGUACCGCCAUAUGUCAGUUUAUCCCUUCCUAUUCUUCCAUCACCAACGCCAUAAUCACCACCAUCUUUCUACUCCGCUUUCUUUUCAAGCCAGCAGGGUGCGCGCGCAUGUAUACAUACGCUCAUCAUGAAGCUCACGUUGUCUGAUCCUGUACAAUGGUAAUCCAACAUCCACCACAAAUUAAUAGACAGCCGCGGUUGUCGCAUGUGUCUUGAGUCUGCUGCUGUGGUACUGCUGCUAUUCAGUACCGGCGGACUUACGUCAGAGUCCCUUCACUUUUACUCUUCAUCACAUAAUUUUAUUUUCUAUCAUCAUCAUCCUUCAGAUUUUUGAUGUUACUAUUGACAAUCUACUUGAAUAAGUGCGCUGGAAUUCCUAGAUCAAGUUAUUGUGAAUCGAUGACAACAGAUGUACCUUAAUCUAAAGAGUAUUCUCAUCCCUAGUCUAUCAUUUAUUCUAAUUGUCUGUUUAUUAGUUUACUUCUUUUUGGCAACUGUUCAUAAUCUUCUACGAAUGACUGUUAUGUGUCAGAUUAAUUACUACAAGUAAUUUCAGAUGUAAUUAACAACAAAAAAAAAAAAAUAACAGAAGAGCGUGAUAAAGAAGAAAUGAAACAAAAAGGAAGAAAUGUCAAUUUGAGAAUUUUGAAGAUUUUAAUGAAGAGAAGAAAAAAAUAAUUUGUGAAUGUUAACAACGAAGAUAGCAAACAAAAAAAUAUAAACUAACAACAGAUUGUUACUUUAAGGCGCGUGGGCCUUCAAACCAGAAAUUCCUUCUAUAAUCAUGCCUGAAAACAUUGUCUUCGGUAUUUAAGAGCGACAUCUACGUGAAAUACCGAUGAGAAUUGAAAGUAAAGAAUUUUUUUCAAUCCAAGGAAUCAUAAAAAUAAAUUCAUCAUUCGACCGAUGACGAAAAUAAUAUACAUACAUAUGUAAACAUAAAUACAUGAAUAAAAAAGCCGUAUCAGGAGAUAGAAGAUAUUCUGAAUUAUGUUGAGAUGUGUUAUCUCAAUUCCGAGAAAACUUAUCAGCGGUUCACGAUUUUUUGGACCGACUAUGGAGCCUAAAUAUCAAUUACACAGCAACUUUCUAUCUGAAUAAUAAAUAAAGUAAAAAAAAUAAUGAAUAAUGAUCAACCAACAAUCAGUAAGAAGAUUAAAAAAUAUAUUAUUUAAAAUUGAAGAGAUAACUAAGCAAUUACAGCUGGUUAACCGAUUAAAGUAUUAACAUAUUGUGCAGUUACUCACCUAUGCCAGCGGACAUACUAGUUGAUCAGCCAGAAUUUCACAAGAGUGCGCGCAACGAUCCCACACGACAAGCACGUGCUCCACUCGCGCACUCGUGGAAAAUUUAUUUAUGUUAACGAACAGUACUUGGGUUGACCUUUGUCAACAUAAAAUUAAAAAAAAUAAUUAUGAUAAUUACUUUAAACAAAAAUGCUUAAUCGAGUUUAAACUUAAGAUACUUCCACACAAUACACAUUAACAAUUCACGUUUAACUGUUUGAAUUAUAUAACCUCACUUUGUCAUGGAUGCGUGGUCGGUAGACGAGAGUGACAAGAAGGCCGCCGAUACAGUCGGCAGACUACCGUACUUGCCGUCGCAAGAUCGAGUUCCCGUGAAUCAGUCAAAAGAAGAUAGACAUAUGUGAUAGAUUGCAAGAAGAAAGAACAAGAGAGAAGAAAAGAGAAGGAUGAAAGCAUUUGUCCCUCAACACGUUGUUAAAUCAUUUAUAAAAAAAUUUUUUUAUCCAUCGCAUAAAUCAUACAAACAUUUAUUAUUAAUUUUUUUAUGAUAAGCUACUAUUCUUCAAUGUUUUUUUUUUUUUUUUUUAAUAAUAAUAAUUCCAAAGAAGUAGGAUGAUAAAAUACAGCUAUUUAAUUUUUAACACUUGAACAUAUGCUUUUGCUAAAAUUAUGUUAGCCGAACGUUGUGCCAAAGGCUAAUUAUUUUUAUGUAAUACUAUUUUUUUAUUUUCAAUGUAAAAAUUAUUUAUUUCCAAUAUCAA
RNAcentral lists this long non-coding RNA (2553 nucleotides) under Cotesia glomerata. RNAcentral describes it as "uncharacterized LOC123274309". Lineage: Eukaryota; Metazoa; Arthropoda; Insecta; Hymenoptera; Braconidae. The record is from RNAcentral.